This 433-nucleotide ribosomal RNA is filed under the name uncultured bacterium. RNAcentral's name for it is "partial 16S ribosomal RNA". It matches the Rfam family "Bacterial small subunit ribosomal RNA", at positions 29 to 507 of the family's 1533-position model. The record is from RNAcentral.
AACGAACGCUGGCGGCAUGCCUAACACAUGCAAGUCGAACGAGACCUUCGGGUCUAGUGGCGCACGGGUGCGUAACGCGUGGGAACCUGCCCUUAGGUUCGGAAUAACUCCCCGAAAGGGGUGCUAAUACCGGAUAAUGUCUUCGGACCAAAGAUUUAUCGCCUUUGGAUGGGCCGGCGUUGGAUUAGCUAGUUGGUAGGGUAAAAGCCUACCAAGGCGACGAUGCAUAGCUGGUCGGAGAGGAUGAUCAGCCACACUGGGACUGAGACACGGCCCAGACUCCUACGGGAGGCAGCAGUGGGGAAUAUUGGACAAUGGGCGAAAGCCUGAUCCAGCAAUGCCGCGUGAGUGAUGAAGGCCUUAGGGUUGUAAAGCUCUUUUACCCGGGAUGAUAAUGACAGUACCGGGAGAAUAAGCUCCGGCUAACUCCGUG